UACGAAGGGGGCUAGCGUUGCUCGGAAUUACUGGGCGUAAAGCGCACGUAGGCGGAUUGUUAAGUCGGGGGUGAAAUCCUGGAGCUCAACUCCAGAACUGCCUUCGAUACUGGCGAUCUCGAGUUCGGGAGAGGUGAGUGGAACUGCGAGUGUAGAGGUGAAAUUCGUAGAUAUUGGGAAGAACACCAGUGGCGAAGGCGGCUAACUGGUCCGGAUCUGACGCUGAGGUGCGAAAGCGUGGGGAGCAAACAGG
Molecule: ribosomal RNA, 253 nt
Filed under: uncultured bacterium
Lineage: Bacteria
Description: partial 16S ribosomal RNA
Rfam family: Bacterial small subunit ribosomal RNA
Source: RNAcentral